GACGAACGCUGGCGGCGUGCUUAACACAUGCAAGUCGAACGGAAAGGCCCUGCUUUCGUGGGGUGCUCGAGUGCCGAACGGGUGAGUAACACGUGAGUAACCUGCCCUUGUCUUUGGGAUAACUUCAGGAAACUGGGGUUACUACCGUAUAGGAGCUCCUGUUCCAGGGUGGGGGUUGGAAAGUUUCGGCGGUUGGGGAUGAACGCGCGGCUUAGGAGCUUGUUGGUGGGGUAGUGGCUUACCAAGGCUUGGACGGGUAGCCGGCCUGGGAGGGUGACAGGGCACAUUGGGACUGAGGUACGGCCAAGAGGCAUACGGGAGGAAGGAGUGGAGGCUAGAGCAAGAUAGGCCGAGUCGUGAAGGAGCAACGCCGCGUGCGAGAUGACGGCUUUCGGGUUGGAAACCGCUUUCGCUUGUACCGAAGCGUGAGUGCGGGUAAUGGAGAAAGAAGAACCGCUAACCUCGGU
This 467-nucleotide ribosomal RNA is filed under the name uncultured bacterium. RNAcentral describes it as "partial 16S ribosomal RNA". It matches the Rfam family "Bacterial small subunit ribosomal RNA", at positions 28 to 506 of the family's 1533-position model. The record is from RNAcentral.